Molecule: ribosomal RNA, 322 nt
Filed under: Monopterus albus (swamp eel)
Lineage: Eukaryota; Metazoa; Chordata; Actinopteri; Synbranchiformes; Synbranchidae
Description: partial 12S ribosomal RNA
Rfam family: Bacterial small subunit ribosomal RNA
Source: RNAcentral
CCCUAUUCGCCUGGGAAUUACGAGCCUCAGCUUAAAACCCAAAGGACUUGGCGGUGCUUAAGACCCACCUAGAGGAGCCUGUUCUAUAACCGAUAAUCCCCGUUAAACCUCACCCUCUCUUGCUUUUCCCGUCUAUAUACCGCCGUCGUCAGCUUACCCCUAAGGGUUCAACAGUAAGCAAAAUUGGUCCCUCCCCAAAACGUCAGGUCGAGGUGUAGCGAAUGAGGGGGGAAGAAAUGGGCUACAUUCUCUAACCCUAGCCAGAUACGAAAAAUGAACUGAAAACACAUUUGAAGACGGAUUUAGAAGUAAAUAGAANNUA